Molecule: transfer RNA, 75 nt
Filed under: Candidatus Atribacteria bacterium
Lineage: Bacteria; Pseudomonadati; Atribacterota; Atribacteria
Description: tRNA-Asn
Rfam family: tRNA
About the family: Transfer RNA (tRNA) molecules are approximately 80 nucleotides in length. Their secondary structure includes four short double-helical elements and three loops (D, anti-codon, and T loops).
Source: RNAcentral
UCCUCGGUAGCUCAAUGGUAGAGCGUUCGGCUGUUAACCGAAAUGUUGUAGGUUCGAAUCCUACCCGAGGAGCCA